GGGGCCGUAGUAUAGCCUGGUCCAGUAUUCCAGCUUCGGGAGUUGGUGACGGGGGUUCAAAUCCUCCCGGCCCCA
Molecule: transfer RNA, 75 nt
Filed under: Candidatus Iainarchaeum sp.
Lineage: Archaea; Nanobdellati; Candidatus Iainarchaeota; Candidatus Iainarchaeia; Candidatus Iainarchaeales; Candidatus Iainarchaeaceae
Description: tRNA-Pro
Rfam family: tRNA
About the family: Transfer RNA (tRNA) molecules are approximately 80 nucleotides in length. Their secondary structure includes four short double-helical elements and three loops (D, anti-codon, and T loops).
Source: RNAcentral